RNAcentral lists this ribosomal RNA (428 nucleotides) under Chthamalus angustitergum. RNAcentral's name for it is "partial 16S ribosomal RNA". The stretch from base 51 to 428 matches the Rfam family "Bacterial large subunit ribosomal RNA", at positions 2048 to 2635 of the family's 2925-position model. The record is from RNAcentral. Lineage: Eukaryota; Metazoa; Arthropoda; Thecostraca; Balanomorpha; Chthamalidae.
AUGGCUAAACGAAAAAUCUACUUUUUUUAYUAUAUAUAUAGAAUUUAUUUUUUUAGUGAAAAAACUGAAAUAAUCUUGAAAGACGAGAAGACCCUAUAGAGUUUUAUAUAGUARRRWWYCAYUUURUAUYAGAUUUAUAUYGAWRUGGUUUAAWUCUGUAAUUUGUUGGGGCGACAUUAAGAUAUACAAAACUCUUUUUUUAAAAAACUUUUAUGAAUGAUUAAUUUGAUCCUUUAAAAAAGACAAUAAGAAAAAAUUACCUUAGGGAUAACAGCGUAAUCUUUUUUGAGAGUUCUAAUCGACAAAAAGGUUUGCGACCUCGAUGUUGGACUAAAAUUUAGGUGGGGUGCAGCAGCUCCACUUUAAGGUCUGUUCGACCUAUAAUAUUUUACAUGAUCUGAGUUCAGACCGGCGUGAGCCAGGUUGGU